GCCACUGUAGCUCAGUUGGUAGAGCACCUCACUCGUAAUGAGGGGGUCAGCGGUUCGAUUCCGCUCAGUGGCUCCA
RNAcentral lists this transfer RNA (76 nucleotides) under Desulfatiglans sp. RNAcentral's name for it is "tRNA-Thr". It matches the Rfam family "tRNA". From Rfam's summary of the family: Transfer RNA (tRNA) molecules are approximately 80 nucleotides in length. RNAcentral also lists the same sequence under 1 other name. Lineage: Bacteria; Pseudomonadati; Thermodesulfobacteriota; Desulfobacteria; Desulfatiglandales; Desulfatiglandaceae. The record is from RNAcentral.